GAUGAACGCUAGCGGCAGGCUUAACACAUGCAAGUCGAGGGGCAGCAUGAGACGGAGAUUCGUCGAAGUCUUGAUGGCGACCGGCGCAAGGGUGCGUAACGCGUGAGCAACUUGCCCGUUUCAGGGGGAUAACCGGUGGAAACGCCGACUAAUACCCCAUAGUAUGUUUUUAAGGCAUCUUUUAAACAUUAAAGAAAUUCGGAAACGGAUAGGCUCGCGUGACAUUAGCUAGAUGGCGGGGUAACGGCCACCAUGGCGACGAUGUCUAGGGGUUCUGAGAGGAAGGUCCCCCANACUGGAACUGAGACACGGUCCAGACUCCUACGGGAGGCAGCAGUGAGGAAUAUUGGUCAAUGGUCUGACGACUGAACCAGCCAUG
This 379-nucleotide ribosomal RNA is filed under the name uncultured bacterium. RNAcentral's name for it is "bacterial SSU rRNA". It matches the Rfam family "Bacterial small subunit ribosomal RNA", at positions 28 to 396 of the family's 1533-position model. The record is from RNAcentral.